GAUGAACGCUGGCGGCGUGCCUAAUACAUGCAAGUCGAGCGAACAGACGAGGAGCUUGCUCCUCUGACGUUAGCGGCGGACGGGUGAGUAACACGUGGAUAACCUACCUAUAAGACUGGGAUAACUUCGGGAAACCGGAGCUAAUACCGGAUAAUAUAUUGAACCGCAUGGUUCAAUAGUGAAAGACGGUUUUGCUGUCACUUAUAGAUGGAUCCGCGCCGCAUUAGCUAGUUGGUAAGGUAACGGCUUACCAAGGCAACGAUGCGUAGCCGACCUGAGAGGGUGAUCGGCCACACUGGAACUGAGAAACGGUCCAGAAUCCUAAGGGAGGCAGCAGUAGGGAAUCUUCCGCAAUGGGCGAAAGCUUGAAGGAGCAACGCCGCGUGAGUGAUGAAGGUCUUCGGAUCGUAAAACUCUGUUAUUAGGGAAGAACAAAUGUGUAAGUAACUAUGCACGUCUUGACGGUACCUAAUCAGAAAGCCACGGCUAACUACGUG
This 497-nucleotide ribosomal RNA is filed under the name uncultured bacterium. RNAcentral's name for it is "partial 16S ribosomal RNA". It matches the Rfam family "Bacterial small subunit ribosomal RNA", at positions 28 to 507 of the family's 1533-position model. The record is from RNAcentral.